This 172-nucleotide ribosomal RNA is filed under the name uncultured eukaryote. RNAcentral describes it as "partial 18S ribosomal RNA". It matches the Rfam family "Eukaryotic small subunit ribosomal RNA", at positions 1495 to 1666 of the family's 1831-position model. The record is from RNAcentral.
GCGCUACACUGAAGGAAUCAGCGUGUCUUUGCCCUUGCCUGGAAAGGUCGGGUAACCCGUUGAACCUCCUUCGUGCUAGGGAUUGGGGCUUGUAAUUCUUCCCCAUGAACGAGGAAUUCCCAGUAAGCGCGAGUCAUAAGCUCGCGUUGAUUACGUCCCUGCCCUUUGUACA